This 560-nucleotide ribosomal RNA is filed under the name uncultured bacterium. RNAcentral describes it as "bacterial SSU rRNA". It matches the Rfam family "Bacterial small subunit ribosomal RNA", at positions 338 to 916 of the family's 1533-position model. The record is from RNAcentral.
CCUACGGGAGGCAGCAGUGGGGAAUCUUGCGCAAUGGGCGAAAGCCUGACGCAGCCAUGCCGCGUGUAUGAUGAAGGUCUUAGGAUUGUAAAAUACUUUCACCGGGGACGAUAAUGACGGUACCCGGAGAAGAAGCCCCGGCUAACUUCGUGCCAGCAGCCGCGGUAAUACGAAGGGGGCUAGCGUUGCUCGGAAUUACUGGGCGUAAAGGGAGCGUAGGCGGACAGUUUAGUCAGAGGUGAAAGCCCAGGGCUCAACCUUGGAAUUGCCUUUGAUACUGACUGUCUUGAGUGUGGGAGAGGUGAGUGGAACUCCGAGUGUAGAGGUGAAAUUCGUAGAUAUUCGGAAGAACACCAGUGGCGAAGGCGACUCACUGGCCCAUUACUGACGCUGAGGCUCGAAAGCGUGGGGAGCAAACAGGAUUAGAUACCCUGGUAGUCCACGCCGUAAACGAUGAGUGCUAGUUGUCGGCAUGCAUGCAUGUCGGUGACGCAGCUAACGCAUUAAGCACUCCGCCUGGGGAGUACGGUCGCAAGAUUAAAACUCAAAGGAAUUGACGG